GACGAACGCUGGCGGCGUGCCUAAUACAUGCAAGUAGGACGCAGUUGCGAACGGGUGAGUAACGCGAAGGUAACUGCCUGGUAGCGGGGGCUAACUAUUGGAAACGAUAGCUAAUACCGCAUACUACCAGAUGGACCUGCGUUGUAUUAGCUAGUAGGUGAGGUAACGGCUCACCAAGGCAACGAUACAUAGCCGACCUGAGACGGUGAUCGGCAACACAGGGACUGAGACACGGCCCAGACGCCUACGGGAGGCAGCAGUAGGGAAUCUUCGGCAAUGGGGGGAACCCUGACCGAGCAACGCCGCGUUAGUGAAGAAGGUUUUCGGAUCGUAAAGCUCUGUUGUUAAGGAAGCGGUACUUAACCAGAAAGGGACGGCUAACUACGGGCCAGCCGCCGCGGUAAUUC
This 407-nucleotide ribosomal RNA is filed under the name uncultured bacterium. RNAcentral describes it as "partial 16S ribosomal RNA". It matches the Rfam family "Bacterial small subunit ribosomal RNA", at positions 28 to 526 of the family's 1533-position model. The record is from RNAcentral.